UACGGAAGGCAGCAGUGGGGAAUAUUGCACAAUGGGCGCAAGCCUGAUGCAGCCAUGCCGCGUGUAUGAAGAAGGCCUUCGGGUUGUAAAGUACUUUCAGUCGUGAGGAAGGUGUUAAGGUUAAUAACCUUAGCAAUUGACGUUAGCGGCAGAAGAGGCACCGGCUAACUCCGUGCCAGCAGCCGCGGUAAUACGGAGGGUGCGAGCGUUAAUCGGAAUUACUGGGCGUAAAGGGCACGCAGGCGGUUAAUUAAGUUGGAUGUGAAAUCCCCGGGCUUAACCUGGGAAUGGCAUUCAAGACUGGUUAGCUAGAGUCUUGUAGAGGGGGUAGAAUUCCAUGUGUAGCGGUGAAAUGCGUAGAGAUGUGGAGGAAUACCGGUGGCGAAGGCGGCCCCUGGGACAAAGACUGACGCUCAUGUGCGAAAGCGUGGGGAGCGAAACAGGGAUUAGAUACC
This 455-nucleotide ribosomal RNA is filed under the name uncultured bacterium. RNAcentral's name for it is "bacterial SSU rRNA". It matches the Rfam family "Bacterial small subunit ribosomal RNA", at positions 340 to 786 of the family's 1533-position model. The record is from RNAcentral.